GAUGAUUGUUCUGUGACUGAGUGGCGGACGGGUGAGUAACGCGUGGAUAACCUGCCUCACACAGGGGGAUAACAGUUGGAAACGACUGCUAAUACCGCAUAAGCGCACGGCACCGCAUGGUGCAGUGUGAAAAACUCCGGUGGUGUGAGAUGGAUCCGCGUCUGAUUAGCUAGUUGGCGGGGUAACGGCCCACCAAGGCGACGAUCAGUAGCCGGCCUGAGAGGGCGACCGGCCACAUUGGGACUGAGACACGGCCCAGACUCCUACGGGAGGCAGCAGUGGGGAAUAUUGCACAAUGGGGGAAACCCUGAUGCAGCGACGCCGCGUGAGCGAUGAAGUAUUUCGGUAUGUAAAGCUCUAUCAGCAGGGAAGAUAAUGACGGUACCUGACUAAGAAGCUCCGGCUAAAUACGUGCCAGCAGCCGCGGUAAUACGUAUGGAGCAAGCGUUAUCCGGAUUUACUGGGUGUAAAGGGAGCGUAGGCGGUCCUGCAAGUCUGAUGUGAAAGGCCGGGGCUCAACCCCGGGACUGCAUUGGAAACUGUAGGACUAGAGUGUCGGAGGGGUAAGUGGAAUUCCUAGUGUAGCGGUGAAAUGCGUAGAUAUUAGGAGGAACACCAGUGGCGAAGGCGGCUUACUG
RNAcentral lists this ribosomal RNA (638 nucleotides) under uncultured bacterium. RNAcentral's name for it is "bacterial SSU rRNA". It matches the Rfam family "Bacterial small subunit ribosomal RNA", at positions 76 to 731 of the family's 1533-position model. The record is from RNAcentral.